CCUGUUCAGCUGUUCCCAGCGCCGCGGGUGACAGGCGCUGAGCUUCACCAGCACUGUCUCCGAACGCCACCCCUUCCACAGGCUUCUCCGCACCGCGCUGCUAACGCAUCCGUCUCCUCCCACUGCAGGAGUUCAAGGGCAAGACCAGCACUACCCGCACGCCUGUCUCGAGCCUGGCGAGGCCAAAAAUGCCCAGAAUUGUUCCAAUGAAGUGGAACAAUCCCCCAAAACUAACUUCCUGAGAUGAAAUGGACAAGAGGAAACAUCGUUCCAGCUGAACGCUUCAAAUUUGAGAAUCUUCGGAAUAAGAAAGGGCAUUCUCACUGCAGCUUCCACAACUCUACCACUGACAUCUGGACAGAAAGCCACUGCACGGCAAGAAAAGACCCUGGAAGCAAGAACUAAACACCCGGUGUAUUGACCUUGUCGGGCUAGAGCGGGGGUCGCAACGUGCCCCUCUGUCCCCGCGCCGAAGGUGGAAGCCGCACAGGUGCCGCACUCGCAGCUCGUCCUCCGUCUUCACUUCAGAGCUGAAGCCCCUCCUCCAGCCAGGACCCCCAGCCGCGGGCGCCCAGCCCCAGGCCCAGGUCGCCGGGCCCACCCGCCGGCCCGCCAACGAGCUGGACUGCCUCGACCCCGGGCUGAGCCGCCCACGGCAGGUGGUAUGGCAGCUCAGCGCCGGACACUGCUGGACUCGUGCAUGUCGAUUAAAGGAGCCCGAUGUUUACUGCACGGCGUUCGAGAAGGCCUGAGAAGACGAAUCCCGCAUGAUCUCACUCACAUGUGGAGUCUAUGAAAAGAGAGAGUUGAUGUCCUAGAAGUAGACAGUAGAACAGUGGUUACCAGAGACGGGGGAGGACAGGGGAAGGGACGAUGGGAGGGCCUGGUUAAUGGUACAAAGUUACAAUUAGAUAGGAGGACUAAGUCCUGGUGUUCUGUUGCACAAUAGGGCAUUGAAUAUAACAAAAUAGCUAGAAGAGAGACUUCGAGUGUUCUCACCACAAGGAAAUGAUAAAUGCAUGAGGCUCAGUGCCCUGGUUUGAUCUUUUUUUUUUUUUUUUUUUGACAGCUAUCGGGCUUGAUCAUUAUACAACAUAUAUGUAUAUCGAAACAUGACAUUGUACCCUAUAAAUACAUACAUUGUGUCUAUUACAAAAAUAAAUUUGUAAUAAGUUCCUGCAUUGCCUAAGUACCUGCACUAGGCACCAGCAGAUCAGACUAAAAACUAAAAUGCUAAGUUCCAAGUCAUUUAGGUUGUGGUCUGACCUUCUGAGAAGUCAGGAGAAAGAGAUAGCCAAUGUCCCCAAACAGGGCAGUUUACAUCUUCAAGAGAAACAAUAAUGAAGUUCCCUCUGCUUUUAAUCCUUACACAAAAAAGAUAGCCUGAAGUAACCAGUUAACUAAUUAGUUAACUAAUCAGGCAUUUUUCUACUGUUCUGUCUCCCUAUCCCCACCUGACAAGGAAAGUGAUUUCAAAAUGACCAAUCCACUCUUUGUGCUUUGUUCCUACUUUCUUCGGCCUUUCCUGUCUAUAAAGCCUUUGCUAUUUGUAAUAAACUCUGGAGCACAUCUCUGACUCUGUCCAAUGGUGUUUCUCACGCCGAUGCUCUCAUUUGGCUCCCAUUAAACUUUACAAAAUUA
Cynocephalus volans (Philippine flying lemur) is the source of this 1641-nucleotide long non-coding RNA. RefSeq lists it as uncharacterized. Lineage: Eukaryota; Metazoa; Chordata; Mammalia; Dermoptera; Cynocephalidae. The record is from RefSeq and is a predicted model, not a curated record. The transcript has 3 exons.